CUGGCGGCGUGCUUCAUACAUGCAAGUCGAACGAUAAGGUCUCUUCGGAGAUACAUAAGUGGCGGACGGGUGAGUAAAAUGUAGAGAAUCUGCCCUAGAGUGGGGGACAACAGAGGGAAACUUCUGCUAAUACCCCAUAUGCGCGUAGCUGAGAUGCUAUUCGUGAAAACUCCGGUGCUCUGGGAUGAGUCUGCAUCUGAUUAGCUAGUAGGCGGUGUAAUGGACCACCUAGGCGACGAUCAGUAGCUGGUUUGAGAGGAUGAUCAGCCACAAUGGGACUGAGACACGGCCCAUACUCCUACGGGAGGCAGCAGUAGGGAAUUUUGCGCAAUGGGGGAAACCCUGACGCAGCAACGCCGCGUGACCGAUGAAGCCCUUCGGGGUGUAAAGGUCUGUCAGUGGGGACGAAACUUGACGGUACCCACAGAGGAAGCAUCGGCUAACUCCGUGCCAGCAGCGGC
This 461-nucleotide ribosomal RNA is filed under the name uncultured bacterium. RNAcentral describes it as "bacterial SSU rRNA". It matches the Rfam family "Bacterial small subunit ribosomal RNA", at positions 36 to 518 of the family's 1533-position model. The record is from RNAcentral.